This 468-nucleotide ribosomal RNA is filed under the name uncultured bacterium. RNAcentral describes it as "bacterial SSU rRNA". It matches the Rfam family "Bacterial small subunit ribosomal RNA", at positions 28 to 492 of the family's 1533-position model. The record is from RNAcentral.
GAUGAACGCUAGCGGCAGGCUUAAUACAUGCAAGUCGAGGGGCAGCACGGUUAGCAAUAACUGGUGGCGACCGGCGCACGGGUGCGUAACACGUAUACAAUCUACCUUAAACAGGGGGAUAGCCUUUCGAAAGAGAGAUUAAUACCCCGUAAUAAAUUGAACGGCAUCGUUUGAUUUUGAAAGCUCCGGCGGUUUGAGAUGAGUAUGCGUCUGAUUAGCUAGUUGGUGAGGUAACGGCUCACCAAGGCGACGAUCAGUGGGGGAUCUGAGAGGACUAACCCCCACACUGGUACUGAGACACGGACCAGACUCCUACGGGAGGCAGCAGUAAGGAAUAUUGGUCAAUGGAGGCAACUCUGAACCAGCCAUGCCGCGUGCAGGAUGACGGCCCUAUGGGUUGUAACUGUCUUUUAUACAAGACGAAACCCUGGUACGUGUACCAGGUUGAUAGUAUUGUAAGAAUAAGCA